Molecule: long non-coding RNA, 316 nt
Filed under: Brassica napus (rape)
Lineage: Eukaryota; Viridiplantae; Streptophyta; Magnoliopsida; Brassicales; Brassicaceae
Description: long non-coding RNA (BNAP_LNC020827)
Source: RNAcentral
AAAAGAUAGAAACAAACAAAAAUUAAAGACCAAUUUAUAAUUUAGAAAGUUGAGCUUCAAAAAUGAACCAAUGAACAGUAUUGCUUCAAAUUUGAAGUUAUACUGUUCACUGCUUCAUUUUGAAGUAAGAAAUAAAGCACCAUUGGAGCAAAAUUUGCUUCAAAAUGGAGCAAAAAGUGAAAAAUGAAACAUCAUUGGAGAUGGUCUUACUGUGGAAGCUAUGUCCAUCCAGGAAGCACUAAAGACUACUUCCAUGGUGGGUAUGUCAAAUAUCAAGGUUAUGUUGGACUCAAUCGUGCUUGUCUCAGCCCUGCGG